AUUGAACGCUGGCGGCAUGCCUUACACAUGCAAGUCGAACGGUAACGGGCCUUCGGGUGCCGACGAGUGGCGAACGGGUGAGUAAUGCAUCGGAACGUACCUUUCAGUGGGGGAUAACGUAGCGAAAGUUACGCUAAUACCGCAUAUUCUGUGAGCAGGAAAGCAGGGGAUCGCAAGACCUUGCGCUGAUUGAGCGGCCGAUGUCAGAUUAGCUAGUUGGUGAGGUAAAGGCUCACCAAGGCGACGAUCUGUAGCGGGUCUGAGAGGAUGAUCCGCCACACUGGAACUGAGACACGGUCCAGACUCCUACGGGAGGCAGCAGUGGGGAAUUUUGGACAAUGGGGGCAACCCUGAUCCAGCCAUGCCGCGUGAGUGAAGAAGGG
This 383-nucleotide ribosomal RNA is filed under the name uncultured bacterium. Its description in RNAcentral is "bacterial SSU rRNA". It matches the Rfam family "Bacterial small subunit ribosomal RNA", at positions 30 to 415 of the family's 1533-position model. The record is from RNAcentral.